Molecule: ribosomal RNA, 253 nt
Filed under: uncultured bacterium
Lineage: Bacteria
Description: partial 16S ribosomal RNA
Rfam family: Bacterial small subunit ribosomal RNA
Source: RNAcentral
UACGUAGGGGGCAAGCGUUAUCCGGAUUUACCGGGCGUAAAGGGAGCGCAGGCGGCGCGCCAAGUCUGAUGUGAAACCCCGGGGCUCAACCCCGGGCAUGCAUUGGAAACUGGCGGGCUGGAGUGCCGGAGAGGUAAGCGGAAUUCCUAGUGUAGCGGUGAAAUGCGUAGAUAUUAGGAGGAACACCAGUGGCGAAGGCGGCUUACUGGACGGCAACUGACGCUGAGGCUCGAAAGCGUGGGGAGCAAACAGG